ACAAACAUGUUUGAGAGGAUUUUGAAGAUCUUCCUAAAAUUUGGUGGGCUCACGACACUCGUAGCUCACCUUCUCACUUUUCGAACUCCAGGCUGAAACCCUGAAGAACUCACUGAAAUCUUGCGCACACUUUUUCUUCUUUUCUUUCUUUUUCUCUCGAAAGGAUAUUGACCUUCACCAUGCACACAAGGAUUCCUCACGUCCAGAUUUUCUUUCAAAAUUUUUCUU
This 228-nucleotide long non-coding RNA is filed under the name Elaeis guineensis (African oil palm). RNAcentral's name for it is "long non-coding RNA (EGUI_LNC069651)". Lineage: Eukaryota; Viridiplantae; Streptophyta; Magnoliopsida; Arecales; Arecaceae. The record is from RNAcentral.